AUGAAGAUGAAACCCAAAAGAUUUUCGUUGGGGCGUAACCCUCUCAGCGACGCGCCACAUCGGAACCCGGGUGUGGUGGAAAAUGGGCAAGGGCCGGGCCGUCACCCCCCAAGUGGCGCGCCGUAUCUUGAUCCGGAUACGGUGGCAAGUGAGCGAGGAUCGGGUCGUCGCAUCCUUAGUGGCGCGCUACAUCGGCGCCCGGAUGUAGUGGAAAAUGAGCAAGGGUCUUCGCAUUUGACUCGACGAGUGCGAAGGGUAAGGAAGCUAGCCGAGCCUAGGAGGAUUCGCUUAGGUAGCUGGAACGUAGGGUCUCUGACAGGGAAGCUUCGGGAGCUAGUUGAUGCAGCAGUGAGGAGAGGUGUUGAUAUCCUUUGCGUCCAAGAAACCAAAUGGAGAGGACAGAAGGCGAAGGAGGUGGAGGAUACCGGCUUCAAGCUGUGGUACACGGGGACGGCUGCAAACAGAAAUGGCAUAGGCAUCUUGAUCAACAAGAGCCUCAAGUAUGGAGUGGUAGACGUCAGGAGACGUGGGGACCGGAUUAUCCUGGUCAAGCUGGUAGCUGAGGACUUGGUUCUCAAUGUAUCAGCGCAUAUGCCCCGCAAGUAG
This 606-nucleotide ribosomal RNA is filed under the name Triticum aestivum (bread wheat). RNAcentral's name for it is "partial small subunit ribosomal RNA". Lineage: Eukaryota; Viridiplantae; Streptophyta; Magnoliopsida; Poales; Poaceae. The record is from RNAcentral.